UGAACGCUAGCGGCAGGCUUAACACAUGCAAGUCGAGGGGCAACGCGAGUAGCAAUACUUGGCGGCGACCGGCGCAAGGGUGCGUAACGCGUGAGCAACAUGCCCGUAUCAGGGGGAUAAUCCAGGGAAACUUGGUCUAAUACCCCAUAGUAAUUUUGUAAGGCAUCUUAUAAGAUUUAAAGCUUUGGUGGAUACGGAUUGGCUCGCGUGACAUUAGCUGGAUGGUAAGGUAACGGCUUACCAUGGCUAUGAUGUCUAGGGGUUCUGAGAGGAAGGUCCCCCACACUGGAACUGAGACACGGUCCAGACUCCUACGGGAGGCAGCAGUGAGGAAUAUUGGACAAUGGAUGGAAAUCUGAUCCAGCCAUGCCGCGUGAAAAGGAAGAAGGUCCUAUGGAUUGUAAACUUCUUUUGUAUGGGAGCAAUAAGGCCUACGAGUAGGUUGAUGAGAGUACCAUACGAAUAAGCACCGGCUAACUCCGUGCCAGCAGCUGC
Molecule: ribosomal RNA, 495 nt
Filed under: uncultured bacterium
Lineage: Bacteria
Description: bacterial SSU rRNA
Rfam family: Bacterial small subunit ribosomal RNA
Source: RNAcentral